CGCACGGGUGAGUAACACGUAUCCAACCUGCCGUCUACUCUUGGACAGCCUUCUGAAAGGAAGAUUAAUACAAGAUGGCAUCAUGAGUCCGCAUGUUCACAUGAUUAAAGGUAUUCCGGUAGACGAUGGGGAUGCGUUCCAUUAGAUAGUAGGCGGGGUAACGGCCCACCUAGUCUUCGAUGGAUAGGGGUUCUGAGAGGAAGGUCCCCCACAUUGGAACUGAGACACGGUCCAAACUCCUACGGGAGGCAGCAGUGAGGAAUAUUGGUCAAUGGGCGAGAGCCUGAACCAGCCAAGUAGCGUGAAGGAUGACUGCCCUAUGGGUUGUAAACUUCUUUUAUAAAGGAAUAAAGUCGGGUAUGGAUACCCGUUUGCAUGUACUUUAUGAAUAAGGAUCGGCUAACUCCGUGCCAGCAGCCGCGGUAAUACGGAGGAUCCGAGCGUUAUCCGGAUUUAUUGGGUUUAAAGGGAGCGUAGAUGGAUGUUUAAGUCAGUUGUGAAAGUUUGCGGCUCAACCGUAAAAUUGCAGUUGAUACUGGAUAUCUUGAGUGCAGUUGAGGCAGGCGGAAUUCGUGGUGUAGCGGUGAAAUGCUUAGAUAUCACGAAGAACUCCGAUUGCGAAGGCAGCCUGCUAAGCUGCAACUGACAUUGAGGCUCGAAAGUGUGGGUAUCAAACAGGAUUAGAUACCCUGGUAGUCCACACGGUAAACGAUGAAUACUCGCUGUUUGCGAUAUACGGCAAGCGGCCAAGCGAAAGCGUUAAGUAUUCCACCUGGGGGAGUACGCCGGCAACGGUGAAACUCAAAGGAAUUGACGGGGGCCCGCACAAGCGGAGGAACAUGUGGUUUAAUUCGAUGAUACGCGAGGAAACCUUACCCGGGCUUAAAUUGCAGAUGAAUUACGGUGAA
Molecule: ribosomal RNA, 908 nt
Filed under: uncultured bacterium
Lineage: Bacteria
Description: bacterial SSU rRNA
Rfam family: Bacterial small subunit ribosomal RNA
Source: RNAcentral